This 492-nucleotide ribosomal RNA is filed under the name uncultured bacterium. RNAcentral's name for it is "partial 16S ribosomal RNA". It matches the Rfam family "Bacterial small subunit ribosomal RNA", at positions 29 to 507 of the family's 1533-position model. The record is from RNAcentral.
AGUGAACGCUGGCGGUAGGCCUAACACAUGCAAGUCGAACGGCAGCACAGUAAAAGCUUGCUCUUACGGGUGGCGAGUGGCGGACGGGUGAGGAAUACAUCGGAAUCUACUUUUUCGUGGGGGAUAACGUAGGGAAACUUACGCUAAUACCGCAUACGACCUACGGGUGAAAGCAGGGGAUCUUCGGACCUUGCGCGAUUGAAUGAGCCGAUGUCGGAUUAGCUAGUUGGCGGGGUAAAGGCCCACCAAGGCGACGAUCCGUAGCUGGUCUGAGAGGAUGAUCGGCCACACUGGAACUGAGACACGGUCCAGACUCCUACGGGAGGCAGCAGUGGGGAAUAUUGGACAAUGGGCGCAAGCCUGAUCCAGCCAUACCGCGUGGGUGAAGAAGGCCUUCGGGUUGUAAAGCCCUUUUGUUGGGAAAGAAAAGCAGCAGGUUAAUACCCCGCUGUUCUGACGGUACCCAAAGAAUAAGCACCGGCUAACUUCGUG